CUACGGGCGGCACCAGGCGCGAAACCUUUGCAAUGCGCGAAAGCGUGACAGGGGAACUCCGAGUGGCAGAAGGCUAAUGCUUUCUGUCUUUUGGCUAAUCUAAAACGUUAGCAGAAUAAGAUCUGGGUAAGACCAGUGCCAGCCGCCGCGGUAAUACUGGCAGAGCGAGUGGGCACCCACGAAUAUUGGGUUUAAAGAGUCCGUAGCGGGUCUGUUAAGUCUACUGUGAAAUCCGACAGCUUAACUGUCGGGCGUGCAGUGGAUACUGGCAGGCUUGGGAGCGGGGGAGGUCAGGAGUACUUGCGGGGUAGUGGUAAAAUACUGUAAUCCUGCAAGGACUACCAGUGGCGAAGGCGCCUGACCAAAACGCGUCCGACCGUGAGGGACGAAGGCUAGGAGAACGAAUCGGAUUAGAUACCCGAGUAGUC
Molecule: ribosomal RNA, 428 nt
Filed under: uncultured archaeon
Lineage: Archaea
Description: partial 16S ribosomal RNA
Rfam family: Archaeal small subunit ribosomal RNA
Source: RNAcentral